RNAcentral lists this ribosomal RNA (2915 nucleotides) under Aeromonas hydrophila. Its description in RNAcentral is "23S ribosomal RNA". It matches the Rfam family "Bacterial large subunit ribosomal RNA". The record is from RNAcentral. Lineage: Bacteria; Pseudomonadati; Pseudomonadota; Gammaproteobacteria; Aeromonadales; Aeromonadaceae.
GUUGUAUGGUUAAGUGACUAAGCGUACAUGGUGGAUGCCUUGGCAGUCAGAGGCGAUGAAGGACGUACUAACCUGCGAUAAGCCGUGAGCAGUCGGUAAGAGACAUUACGACUCACGGAUUUCCGAAUGGGGAAACCCACUUAGCAUAAGCUAGGUAUCGCUGCGUGAAUACAUAGCGUAGCGAGGCGAACCGGGAGAACUGAAACAUCUAAGUACCCCGAGGAAAAGAAAUCAACCGAGAUUCCCUCAGUAGCGGCGAGCGAACGGGGAUUAGCCCUUAAGCAUCUUGGAAGUUAGUGGAACGGUCCUGGAAAGGCCGGCGAUACAGGGUGAUAGCCCCGUACACGAAAACAACCUUGAUGUGAAAUCGAGUAGGGCGGGACACGUGACAUCCUGUCUGAAUAUGGGGGGACCAUCCUCCAAGGCUAAAUACUCCUGACUGACCGAUAGUGAACCAGUACCGUGAGGGAAAGGCGAAAAGAACCCCUGUGAGGGGAGUGAAAUAGAACCUGAAACCGUGUACGUACAAGCAGUGGGAGCCCUUCGGGGUGACUGCGUACCUUUUGUAUAAUGGGUCAGCGACUUACAUUUUGUAGCGAGGUUAACCGUAUAGGGGAGCCGUAGGGAAACCGAGUCUUAACUGGGCGUCUAGUUGCAAGGUGUAGACCCGAAACCGGGUGAUCUAGCCAUGGGCAGGUUGAAGGUUGAGUAACAUCAACUGGAGGACCGAACCCACUAACGUUGCAAAGUUAGGGGAUGACCUGUGGCUGGGGGUGAAAGGCCAAUCAAACUCGGAGAUAGCUGGUUCUCCCCGAAAGCUAUUUAGGUAGCGCCUCGGACGAAUACUACUGGGGGUAGAGCACUGUUUGGGCUAGGGGGUCAUCCCGACUUACCAACCCCAUGCAAACUCCGAAUACCAGUAAGUAAUAUCCGGGAGACACACGGCGGGUGCUAACGUCCGUCGUGAAGAGGGAAACAACCCAGACCGCCGGCUAAGGUCCCAAAGUUCUGGUUAAGUGGGAAACGAUGUGGGAAGGCUCAGACAGCUAGGAUGUUGGCUUAGAAGCAGCCAUCAUUUAAAGAAAGCGUAAUAGCUCACUAGUCGAGUCGGCCUGCGCGGAAGAUGUAACGGGGCUCAAACCAGGCACCGAAGCCGCGGAUUCACACUAAGUGUGAGUGGUAGGGGAGCGUUCUGUAAGUCUGCGAAGGUGUUCCGAUCUAUGCUGGAGAUAUCAGAAGUGCGAAUGCUGACGUAAGUAACGAUAAAGGGGGUGAAAAGCCUCCUCGCCGGAAGACCAAGGGUUCCUGUCCAACGUUAAUCGGGGCAGGGUGAGUCGACCCCUAAGGCGAGGCCGAAAGGCGUAGUCGAUGGGAAGCAGGUUAAUAUUCCUGCACGACUUGUAAUUGCGAUGGGGGGACGGAGAAGGCUAGGUGGGCCAGGCGACGGUUGUCCUGGUGAAAGUGCGUAGGUGGUGUUUCUAGGCAAAUCCGGAGACACAACACUGAGACACGAGACUAAUACUCUUCGUUUUUGAAGCUAUUGAUGCCCUGCUUCCAGGAAAAGCCUCUAAGCUUCAGAUUACAAGUCAUCGUACCCCAAACCGACACAGGUGGUCGGGUAGAGAAUACCAAGGCGCUUGAGAGAACUCGGGUGAAGGAACUAGGCAAAAUAGAACCGUAACUUCGGGAGAAGGUUCGCUCUUGACAGUGAAGUCCCUUGCGGAUGGAGCAGUUGGGAGUCGCAGUGACCAGAUGGCUGGGACUGUUUAUCAAAAACACAGCACUCUGCAAACACGAAAGUGGACGUAUAGGGUGUGACACCUGCCCGGUGCCGGAAGGUUAAUUGAUGGGGUUAGCGCAAGCGAAGCUCUUGAUCGAAGCCCCGGUAAACGGCGGCCGUAACUAUAACGGUCCUAAGGUAGCGAAAUUCCUUGUCGGGUAAGUUCCGACCUGCACGAAUGGUGUAACCAUGGCCAUGCUGUCUCCACCCGAGACUCAGUGAAAUCGAAUUCGCCGUGAAGAUGCGGUGUACCCGCGGCUAGACGGAAAGACCCCGUGAACCUUUACUACAGCUUGGCACUGAACAUUGAACCUACAUGUGUAGGAUAGGUGGGAGGCUUUGAAGGCGUGACGCCAGUUGCGCUGGAGCCGUCCUUGAAAUACCACCCUUGUAUGUUUGAUGUUCUAACGCAGGCCCCUGAAUCGGGGUCGCGGACAGUGCCUGGUGGGUAGUUUGACUGGGGCGGUCUCCUCCCAAAGAGUAACGGAGGAGCACGAAGGUUGGCUAAUCCUGGUCGGACAUCAGGAGGUUAGUGCAAUGGCAUAAGCCAGCUUAACUGCGAGACGGACAGGUCGAGCAGGUACGAAAGUAGGUCAUAGUGAUCCGGUGGUUCUGAAUGGAAGGGCCAUCGCUCAACGGAUAAAAGGUACUCCGGGGAUAACAGGCUGAUACCGCCCAAGAGUUCAUAUCGACGGCGGUGUUUGGCACCUCGAUGUCGGCUCAUCACAUCCUGGGGCUGAAGUCGGUCCCAAGGGUAUGGCUGUUCGCCAUUUAAAGUGGUACGCGAGCUGGGUUCAGAACGUCGUGAGACAGUUCGGUCCCUAUCUGCCGUGGGCGUUGGAUGAUUGAAGGGAGUUGCUCCUAGUACGAGAGGACCGGAGUGAACGAACCUCUGGUGUUCGGGUUGUCACGCCAGUGGCACUGCCCGGUAGCUAAGUUCGGAAUCGAUAACCGCUGAAAGCAUCUAAGCGGGAAGCGAGCCCUGAGAUGAGUCAUCCCUGACCCCUUGAGGGUCCUAAAGGGCCGUUGGAGACCACAACGUUGAUAGGUGGGGUGUGUAAGCGCGGCGACGUGUUGAGCUAACCCAUACUAAUUACCCGUGAGGCUUAACCAUACAACACCCAAGAAGUGUUCU